UACGUAGGGAGCUAGCGUUGUUCGGAAUUACUGGGCUAAAGCGUGCGCAGGCGGUCUGUUAAGACCGAUGUGAAAUCCCCGGGCUUAACCUGGGAACUGCAUUGGUGACUGGCAGGCUUUGAGUGUGGCAGAGGGAGGUGGGAAUUCCACGUAUAGCAGUGAAAUGCGUAGAGAUGUGGAGGAAUACCGAUGGCGAAGGCAGCCUCCUGGGCCAACACUGACGCUCAUGCACGAAAGCGUGGGGAGCAAACAGG
This 254-nucleotide ribosomal RNA is filed under the name uncultured bacterium. RNAcentral's name for it is "partial 16S ribosomal RNA". It matches the Rfam family "Bacterial small subunit ribosomal RNA", at positions 524 to 776 of the family's 1533-position model. The record is from RNAcentral.